Molecule: ribosomal RNA, 424 nt
Filed under: uncultured bacterium
Lineage: Bacteria
Description: partial 16S ribosomal RNA
Rfam family: Bacterial small subunit ribosomal RNA
Source: RNAcentral
AAUUUUGGACAAUGGGGGAAACCCUGAUCCAGCCAUCCCGCGUGUAUGAUGAAGGCCUUCGGUUUGUAAAGUACUUUUGGCAGAGAAGAAAAGGUAUCUCCUAAUACGAGAUACUGCUGACGGUAUCUGCAGAAUAAGCACCGGCUAACUACGUGCCAGCAGCCGCGGUAAUACGUAGGGUGCAAGCGUUAAUCGGAAUUACUGAGCGUAAAGCGUGUGUAGGCGGUUCGGAAAGAAAGAUGUGAAAGCCAAGAGCUCAACCUUGGAACUGCAUUUUUAACUUCCGAGCUAGAGUAUUUCAGAGGGGGGUAGAAUUCAACGUGUAGCAGUGAAAUGCGUAGAUAUGUGGAGGAAUACAGAUGGCGAAGGCAGCACCCUGGGAUAAUACUGACGCACAGACACGAAAGCGUGGGGAGCAAACAGG